UACGUAGGGUGCAAGCGUUUAUCCGGAAUUAUUGGGCGUAAAGAGCUCGUAGGCGGUUUGUCGCGUCUGCUGUGAAAACUGGAGGCUCAACCUCCAGCCUGCAGUGGGUACGGGCAGACUAGAGUGCGGUAGGGGAGAUUGGAAUUCCUGGUGUAGCGGUGGAAUGCGCAGAUAUCAGGAGGAACACCGGAUGGCGAAAGGCAGGUCUCUGGGCCACU
RNAcentral lists this ribosomal RNA (218 nucleotides) under uncultured bacterium. RNAcentral's name for it is "partial 16S ribosomal RNA". It matches the Rfam family "Bacterial small subunit ribosomal RNA", at positions 524 to 738 of the family's 1533-position model. The record is from RNAcentral.